This 844-nucleotide ribosomal RNA is filed under the name uncultured bacterium. Its description in RNAcentral is "bacterial SSU rRNA". It matches the Rfam family "Bacterial small subunit ribosomal RNA", at positions 8 to 881 of the family's 1533-position model. The record is from RNAcentral.
AGAGUUUGAUCCUGGCUCAGGAUGAACGCUGGCGGCGUGCCUAACACAUGCAAGUCGAGCGAUUCUCUUCGGAGAAGAGCGGCGGACGGGUGAGUAACGCGUGGGUAACCUGCCUCAUACACAUGGAUAACAUACCGAAAGGUAUGCUAAUACAAGAUGAUAUAAGAGAUUCGCAUGGGUUUCUUAUCAAAGCUCCGGCGGUAUGAGAUGGACCCGUGUCUGAUUAGCUAGUUGGUAAGGUAACGGCUUACCAAGGCGACGAUCAGUAGCCGACCUGAGAGGGUGAUCGGCCACAUUGGAACUGAGACACGGUCCAAACUCCUACGGGAGGCAGCAGUGGGGAAUAUUGCACAAUGGGCGAAAGCCUGAUGCAGCAACGCCGCGUGAGCGAUGAAGGCCUUCGGGUCGUAAAGCUCUGUCCUCAAGGAAGAUAAUGACGGUACUUGAGGAGGAAGCCCCGGCUAACUACGUGCCAGCAGCCGCGGUAAUACGUAGGGGGCUAGCGUUAUCCGGAUUUACUGGGCGUAAAGGGUGCGUAGGUGGUUUCUUAAGUCAGGAGUGAAAGGCUACGGCUUAACCGUAGUAAGCUCUUGAAACUGGGAAACUUGAGUGCAGGAGAGGAAAGUGGAAUUCCUAGUGUAGCGGUGAAAUGCGUAGAUAUUAGGAGGAACACCAGUAGCGAAGGCGGCUUUCUGGACUGUAACUGACACUGAGGCACGAAAGCGUGGGGAGCAAACAGGAUUAGAUACCCUGGUAGUCCACGCCGUAAACGAUGAGUACUAGGUGUCGGGGGUUACCCCCCUCGGUGCCGCAGCUAACGCAUUAAGUACUCCGCCUGGGGAGU